Chrysemys picta bellii (western painted turtle) is the source of this 8321-nucleotide non-coding RNA. The record is from RefSeq and is a predicted model, not a curated record. Lineage: Eukaryota; Metazoa; Chordata; Testudines; Emydidae.
CAAAAAUUCCUAACUCCAAAUAAAACUUUGAGAUAUGAUUGAACCUGGCCAUAGCUCAAAUGUCUUUUGGCCUGGAAGGUGACUUUCAACUGGAAAAUAUCUCCAGAGUGAAUGCGGGCGCACUGGUGGAAGACCUGCCAUGUAAGUACAGUGAGACCUGAGAAUAGCCUCCAGUUGGCCAAACCCUUGUGUAUCUAGUAUCCCUAACAAUCCUGUGCCAUUUUAUAUAAGCAGGCCAGAAGCAAUGCGUCCUUUGAGAUGUAAAGGACUAGACCGUACUCUACCAGAAUACAAGUGGAUGGUGUGGCUAAUGUUUUCAAACCUGUGUCUAAACUUUGAUGCCUAAACAGGGACAUGGGUACCUAAAUAAGUGGCCUAAUUUUCAAAGAUGCUGUGAACCCUUCGCUCCCCUGGAGAUCACGGAGCGCUGUGGGUGCUCCGCUCUGGAAAAUCUGGCUGCUUAUUUGGAUGCCUCAUUAUGGAACAGGGUCCUUAACUUCAGGCAGUUGAGUUUUGCAAUCGUUGGCCUGUGAUUCUGUGCAGUCUUGAUUAGGCCCUGGUCAUGUGCAUUGUUACAAAGGUACAGAAUUAACCAGGUCAGUUAUUCAAAUGUCUCAAUAGCAUUGUUGUGAUUAGACCGUUCUAACCUGUUUUAUUAGACCUAGCUGAAUAUUCUGAAGAUGACACCAGUGAUUGCACAAAGAACUCUCUCAUUUAGUCUGGAAAAGUCAUGUACAUCAAGCUGGGAGCUUGCUUAACUGGUUGAGCUUCUGAUCACAUGCCAGCAUGUGUGCACUGAUGAAACCAACUUAUGCCCAGACCAUACUUAAGAUUUAUUCUUAGCAAAUGCUAUUUAAAUUGCAUUAAAUGUAUGUAUUUAGCUGUAAAUGUCUGCUGUAAAUAUCCAAGUGUGGCUGCUGGUGUACUCCUAAAGAAAGUGGUUUCAUCAAAGAUUUCCUUCUGUUAUGCAAGAGCUGACUGACAAAAUCCAUGGAGCUACGGCUGAACUACUAAUUGUAAAAAUGCACAGUAAGAGUGAAGCACUUAUCCCUUCGCUUUGAGUGUGUUUUGGGUUUAAGCCUUAUAUACUCUUCAACAACUUCCCCCCCACACACACACACAGUUUUUUAUAGUGAAUUAUUUAUUCUGGUGCUUUUUGACAUCCAUCAAUACUGUUGCCAGUAGAACAGCACCAGUUCUGAAAAGGCUAUUUGAAGUAGUUGAAUUACCUGAAUAAUACCAAUGUGGAACUUACUAGAUCUCCCAUUUUUGCUCUGUCAAGGGCAGUGUGUAUGGAGGGGAUGGGGUGGAGAUUAAGACAAUUUUUGGAUUCUUUGGUAACGGGAUUUUUUCCGUACAGAAAGGGGCAGCAGUAACAUUGCGGUAGCCAGAAAAUGCUCACUGACACUUCACAACCAUGUGACUGAACUCCAUGCAGCCAGCGCGUGGAAACAUGGUAUUUAGCUCAGCUGUCCGACGGACGACAAGGGAAAUACUUUUAGUUCAGCCCUUCUGAAUUCUCCUAAAAGGACACUGCCAUGGUACUUCAUAUUCUGCCGCCUCUUAACAACAAUACUGUUACAGCUGUGUUUCUCUCCACACAAACUUGCUGCUUGUUGCAACUGCUGGGCUUUAACGAGGUUCUCUUCUCUCUUUAAUAAUCUACAAGUCCUUUACAGAGGUAAAUAUGCAACUGUAUGGAUUUUGAACUUGGUUGCUCGUGUGUUUCUUUCCUCCCCAAAAUAAGCCCCCAAGAAGGGCAAAAUGCUCCAUGAAGUCUAUCAGUACAGUCCUGUACCUGUUCAGAACUCUGAAACUUCAGUAGAAAACCAUAAGUGAUGGAAAACAUUGUAGCAUCUUGGUCCUUGAGGUUGCUUCUCUUCCCAGCUGUGUCCUGGCUGACAAAAGCUAUCACUGCCAGAAGAGGGAGGAGGAGGUCUCACUAGUUGAAAUCCCGGAACAAAAAAGUUGGGAAUUAUCUUAGAUCAUUUUCCAACUUAGAUGGAAGUAAAGUGUGAUUGAUUGAUUUUUAAUAACUGGCCACCCAUAUAUUUGGGAACAGAGGAAGAGGUAGAUAGAAAGGCCUGGUGAAGUACACAACGGAGGAUCAAUUUGGGCCCUGUUUUGCAGCGGUCUCCAUACUGUUGGACCCAUGUGCCCCUCCUCAGCUCAUUGCAGGACCAAGUGUAAAUUACACUCCCCAUGGCCCCCUUGCUUGGGUGAAAUGGCCCAAGAGUGAGAUCCUUUAUAACACUCUGGCAUUCAUCAAUGUUAAAUUUCCUGAGCGAAUAAGUCUAUCAGGUUUCCAUCAGUUACUACUAUGUCUAUAUAUAGUUUCCCUUUCUAAAAAUAAAAGCUCAUGGUACUUGAGCAGUGUUCUAUUCCAUGACCCCUGGCUUCAUAUGAAAAGGUACAUAGGAAAAACGGCCAGAGGCGUAGGGAGCCAUGCAUGUAGGCACUAGGGACAAGUCAUUCUUGUGUGUAACUCCUCGUGCAAAUGGCUCACUAAGAAAUAAAAGCAGUUGAAAUUACAAUAUUUCUUAAUUUUUAGAUUAGGUGGGAAGUCAUUUUCACUGCAAUUUCCUACCAUCACUUUAUGCUAAAUGUGGAGCCUUGCACAGAAUUUUUACUCACUAAAAAUAUUUCUUGCUGUCAUCUCUGGCUAGGAGAUCAAAUAAACAAAGCCUGUGACUGAGAGAUAAUGAAGCUUCAGUAUUUCUGGUUUUGUUUAUCUGAUCUUCUAGAAGAAAGGUACUCGCGGCAUUGCUAUGAGCAACAACUAUAUGAAAUGCAUCAAAUAAUUAUGAAAAUAUUUGUUUCUGAAUGUAAAGUUAGCACGACAUUUGCUUUAGAGUCGCAUCUAUGUGUAUGUAUGUUAAUAUUUCUCUAGCAUCUUUAGCCAAGGAUCUCAAAGUGUUUUCAGACUUAGGAACUGAUCUUAUCAGCUUGUCCACGCAGGCAUGAGCAAAAUUCCCGCCUGUGCAGAGCAGACCUCAGGACUGGAGCUCCAGCGCCUUAGGCAGUCUCACAAUGCCCCUGGGAGACAGGUCAAGUACCUCAGUGGUUAGAGAGAGGCACAGAUUCGGUCGCUUGCCAAAGGUCAGACAAGGAGACAGUGGUGGAACUGAAGAGAGCGCUUGAGAGGCCUGCUCCCGGUGCUGCGCUUUAACCAAAUGGCUCUGGAGAUAUAAUCACCCUAAGGCCGUGGGAGGCUCUCAAGGGCUGGAACGUUGGGCCAUGCCUGCAUUUCUAAGCUCUGACCAAAAGGUGCAACUAUCUGAUGACUAGUGCGUAAUCCUGUAUGUAACUAGUGAGUGGUCUGACUACAGGCCCUAACAGACAGGGUAUCACAAAUAGCCUCACCAUCCUAAUGGGCAGAGAUGUCACUUCCCCCUCAUCUCUCCAGCACACAGAGCAGACUGGGGCACGCGAGGAAGCUUGUUCUGCUGGUCUCACUAGUGAAUGUAUUUCAGGGCCUAAACAGAAGGCUUCAGGUUCCACUCCCCUGCAUGUGGCACUUUUCCAAAGCAAUCCGUAGAUCUUAUUUUUUAAAGAUGAUGUGGCCAGGAGUUUUAAAAAUAGAGCUUGGGACUUUUUAUUCUGCGGUGUCUGAAAAAGGCUUGAUAGGGUUUUGUUUAGGGCCGGACUUUGUUUUGUUUUUACUUUCAGGCGAUGUCUGAUCUAUGCGCUGGGGGUACGAUCCACUGCUCAUGUACGCAUGUGCUAGCUCUCCUUGAACUAGCGUGAGUAUAAAUAAUAGUGAAGCCGCGGCAGUGCGGGUAGCAGCAGGGGAACCAUGGCACAUACCCGUACAGCUCAGCCUCCCACAGCUACGCUGCUUUUAUACGUGUGCUGGCUCCAUGAGAGCUGGCGUCAGUGUGAGUACAUGAGCAAGGGCAUCACACCCCUAUCUCCGAAUGUAGAUGUAGCCUUAGAAAUAUCGUGACUCUCAAAGCUGCUCUUCCCUGGUUUUGCUGGAGGACCUCUUGGGGAGGGGUGUGGGUGUGAGAGUGAGUGAGUGCAUCUGUACAGUGAGUUCUUGCACUCGAGAUGGGUGCGGCUGCUCAAUCGGUGACAGAUAUUUCCUCCAGAAUGUGUGUUAGUCAUUGAAGUAAAGCAGGCAUGAACAAAAACUAGCAAACCAGAGUGUUAAGCAAUCUGACUAACAAUCCCUUGCCCUCUCAGCUGUUGUGAUGUGCUCAUUUCACUGUCAUUCAUGACAUUCAGGACCGAUGAAACCUGAAUUUCUAACACACAAAAACCCAUUGGGCAUGGGGGGAGACAACUGCCUGUCUUUAGCCCCCAGAAAGAAGCGUAAGUAAUGGAUGUAAGCCCAAUUUCCCACCCUUCUUGCAGCUCCCCUUUCGAGCAGGCUGUCUCUUGACAGUAAAUGUAAAUGCUGGGUGUGUCCUGCUAGCAUUUGCCCAGCAGGGGGAGAUGUACUAGAAGAGAGCAAAGCACAGCAAGGGCGAAAUAACACACGUUGCUGCUAAAUGCUAGCAGAGAAAAGAGAUCGCUGGGGCCAAAGAGGAGGACAGGCAAUGAAUGGAACAAAGGUGAGCGGUGAGGUGAGGAAGUGAUGUGCAGUUAGUCUGGGGAAUAAUCCAAAAUGCAGGAGGACAGAGCAGUUUCUCUUUCUGGUUGGACUAGAAUAGAGGACACACGGCCCUAGACUGUAUAAAUGUCUAAUGAUCUGAAUUAAAUGUUAAAUUUAACUUCUCUUGCCUAGCUCAUAACAAAUGCAUCCCUUUAUAUGUGUGUUUCUCUCUGGACACAGGCUGAAAAACUCGCAGUGCUAUGAAGAUGGUUCUAUUAGAUAUUUUAAAACAAAGCCCUUAAAAAUUCAGUCCUUAAACUAGCCCAGGUGAAACAAAGGAUUGAAUGAAGUGUCUGGGGAAGUAGUCUUGUAACAGUGUCACUUAAUACAAGGUACUUAAACUAACAGGACAAUAUAAGGGAUUGGAUGCUGAUUAAGCUGCAUAAGGAAAAUGGAAAUAUAGUAAAUGAUACUGGCUCACGAAAGCUUAUGCUCAAAUAAAUGUGUUAGUCUCUAAGGUGCCACAAGUACUCCUGUUCUUUUUGCGGAUACAGACUAACACGGCUGUUACUCUAGAUACUAGCAUGGUUACAGAGCUAACUGCCCCCUCAGCCCGGCUCCCCACAUGCACUUGUCACCCAGUAUUUCUCAUCAGUUGAGGCAGCCAUGAGGGGCUUGUCCCCCUGCAGAACAGGCCUUAGCCAAGCAAUGCCUUUUGUAAAUGAGGGGUCCCCAGGAGCACCGCCAGCUUUUCUGCCACCCUAGGCGGCGGAAGGUCCCGCCGCCAAAAUACCACCGCAGUCACCACCCCCCAAAUUGUAGCACCCUAGGCGACCGCCUAGGUCGCCUAAUGGAUUGUGGGGGACCCCCCGGGCCGGCACAAUCCAUUGUUGCUAAGUGUGAACCCUCAAACCUUCCCCUGAGCUGAGUUCCAUUCUCUGCCCGUCCCCUGAGUGGGGUGAGGGUCCCCUCUGGCAACACCCCAGUGACGCCUGGCAGUGGACUAGCCCUUUGACCGCCUAGGUUUUCACCCCGUGUGGAGGCUGUGGGGCCCCUUUGUUCUGUAUCUGCUGAGUAGAGGUGAGCCGUUCUUCCUCCCCAUCUGACUCAGGGACAUUUCUAUUGGGGAUCUGGCUGUAUUUUACUCUCGGGGUGGAGCCGGAUAGGUGCACAGAUAGCUGGAGUGUGAAUUCAGUCGCAUGUACAUUUUACCUCCCCUUUGGGGCUAUAGCCUCCUGAUUAGCCUGCUGCAUUGGAGGGCCAGCAUCCCAGCCCUCCUCUGGCCUGAAUAUCAAUAUGCUCACCUGUCAUGGCUCCAUGCCAGUGGCUGAGCCUAUUGGUGUCCUGACCCCUGGCAGCUAGAACACCUCAGAUCUCUGGUCUAUUUGCUCCCACCUCAGUCCAGUGCUCGUCCUUGGUUCCUUUCCUGAUGGUCAGAAUACACUGGAUUAACUGAUGUGGUCAGCUCUUGAGAGUUUAGCUGCCUGUCUGCAUAACUCCACCUGCUGACUUUUCUUGAGGUGCUUGUAACUCAUCCUUCAUGUCCAUCUUUUCCCUCUUCUCUUCCUGGAAAAGAAUAUAGGGCUGGUUUUCUUUUCUUUUUUUUCUUUUUCUUCUGCAGUAUUUGCUUUCGCUGCUCUUGGCACUUCACCACUGUCCCCAUCUCACUGCUGCCCCUGUAUAUGUCCCAUUUACUGCCACUAACUACACCUCCGACUGCUUCUGGUCCCUUGAAACAGCCUCCCACCCGCCAGGUCUUGGGCCUUUAGCCAUCUGGAAUCAUGCAAUUCUCUCACACUCAGAAUGGCCCCUGGGUUGCAGUAUAUCAACAGUGAUUAUCUCAGCAGGUCUGACUUCAGUUCAGACCCUGCAGUUUUGUUCCCUCUAGAGCUAUGAUGAUAGUAUCCAGAAACCAAACAGCCCCCUUAGAGCAAAGUAUUUAGAACAAAAGCAUUUCAGAGAAAAGACCUUAAAACAAUGAAGCAGGCUAUAUGCAUGACUGCCUUUCCCUAAGGCUUCGCCUUUCCUGGAUCUAGGACCCAAUGCUUUCCAGUGCCUCCAGAGUCUCUCCUCUGUCAGCUGGUCUCUCCCUGGGCAGCUCCGGACAAUUGACCUCGUUUGUCCUGGGGAAGGUUUUUUAACUGUUUCCUGUUCUUUUGAUCUCCAGUCCCCCAGCCUGGCAAAACAGCUGUGUCACUUUGGCCUGGAGUCUGGAAUUAGGCCAUUGUCGUUCAUGUGUGUGCUGGGGUGUUCUCAUCUGGGGAGCCGUUUCCUUGCCUUCCUGUUUGUUCUUCCCAGAGCAUCUAUUAAGCGAGAUCAGUGCAUUUAUACAGGCAAGUCUUACUACCCGCUAUACAAUAACUUCACUGACCAGGUCACGUGCAGUGUUCAUCAAAUUAUUACAUCUCCGUAUGCUUAGGUGAUUACGUGGCAGCUCCUCAUCCAUCUCAUAUACCCACCUUUGCUUAUGGGAUCAGAGUCAGUUAACACUUCCUUGCCGCUCUAAUUAUAAACUGUUCAAUUACAAAGUAAACAACACUGAAGUGGUAUUCAUCAUUGUACCUACUGGACAGCACAUGCCUGCAUAGUUACAUACAAUACAUACAGUAAACAAGCUUAGUUCUGGCUUUGGUGAAAGGCUUACCAAAGAAGAGUGCGUAAGAUGCUAUCAAUAGCCAUUUUAGAAAUUUCAUUAUAAAGGGUUGGUGUAUUAUAGAUACUUGUAUAUUGGUGAACAAGCAGAUAUUACUCAAAGUAGGUUUGCAUUAUUACUACCAUAAUGACUCUUAACGCUGGAUGUGCAUGAUGCGCUAAAUCUUCCAGUGCUUCAUUGGGAGUUUUGACUGUAAAUGAACUGCAGGAUUUGGGGACAUAAGUCAUGCCUAGGGCACGGCCUAGGAAAUAGCCAGGAACAAAAUGGUAAAAUGUGUCACAUGAUGUGGCACUUGCAUCUGAGAUCAAAAGGAUUUCACAGCUUCUCAUGUGGAAAAUGAUCCUCCGGGUAGUUUCUCACGAAAAAGGAUGUUGUUUUAAUCCUCCUUCAUUUUAAUGUCUGCUUAAGGAGUGAUUUAUCCAUGGCAGGGUUUACCUAAAGCUUCCAUUGUUAAUACUAAAGCUUUCCCUUCAUUAUAACUGCUAAUAAAUAUUUGAUGGUGAAAUUCACAAAUUAGGUGACUGGGGCACAAUAGAUUACUUAGUUAUUUCUCACCCCUGGGGGCAGAAAUGUCAGAUUGAUGGAACCUGUCCUGAACAGAUGGUUGCUUGUCUCAGCUCAAUUUGUGAGGGAGGCAAUAUAACCCACCACCCAGUAUUAUCAGGCUUUCCAGCCAUUCAGCUGAUGUUGUUUGCAUUUUAUUUUUCUUUUCUCAAAGGAGCUGGAGGACCAGGAUUUCAUGAUUUAACAUGCAAGACCUGCUGCCCUGAGCCCUGCACAUGCAGUGGUUGGGCUGUUGGUGUUGCCAGUCAGGUCCUGAAUCACAAAGAAGGAAGAAGAUUGUGGCAACACCCAAAAAAAUUUCCAAAUGCACAGGGAAAUAUAGCCCCUGCCCUGUAUCUCUGGCGUGGGACUGGAAAAACAAGAACAAAGGCAAAAAUAGGAUGCUAACAAAUACCUUUCAUGGAACUCAUUAUGGAAAACCAAACUGGUUUCUAAGUACUGUUGCACCAUUAUACUCCUGAAAAACAACGUGAUGUAACUCUGCAACUAUAAGAAAGACAUGAACUGACUGUAUGCAAGGUAUUUUUAUUUAAUACUGUCCAAUUUUAAUAACAAAAUUAAACCCCA